UCAUUUUUGUGAUUUGCAGCUAGUAAUCAUGGGUCAGUUGCAUAGUCGCAAAAGUGAUC
This 59-nucleotide microRNA precursor is filed under the name Microcaecilia unicolor. RNAcentral describes it as "Mun-Mir-153-P2_pre stem-loop". It matches the Rfam family "mir-153 microRNA precursor family", at positions 8 to 66 of the family's 73-position model. Lineage: Eukaryota; Metazoa; Chordata; Amphibia; Gymnophiona; Siphonopidae. The record is from RNAcentral.